AUCUUUUAUUCUUUAUGAGCUUGAUGAUAGGGGUUUUCACAGUCAUGUGUGAGAAGUACCUCCUUCAAACUUUGCUGCAACAUUGGCACAUCACUUCUCUAACA
Molecule: small nucleolar RNA, 104 nt
Organism: Otolemur garnettii (small-eared galago)
Lineage: Eukaryota; Metazoa; Chordata; Mammalia; Primates; Galagidae
Source: Ensembl